Molecule: ribosomal RNA, 164 nt
Filed under: Tovomita longifolia
Lineage: Eukaryota; Viridiplantae; Streptophyta; Magnoliopsida; Malpighiales; Clusiaceae
Also listed under: 1 other name
Description: 5.8S ribosomal RNA
Rfam family: 5.8S ribosomal RNA
About the family: 5.8S ribosomal RNA (5.8S rRNA) is a component of the large subunit of the eukaryotic ribosome. It is transcribed by RNA polymerase I as part of the 45S precursor that also contains 18S and 28S rRNA.
Source: RNAcentral
CGUAAACAAAACGACUCUCGGCAACGGAUAUCUCGGCUCUCGCAUCGAUGAAGAACGUAGCGAAAUGCGAUACUUGGUGUGAAUUGCAGAAUCCCGUGAACCAUCGAGUCUUUGAACGCGAGUUGCGCCCAAAGCCUUCUGGUCGAGGGCACGUCUGCCUGGGU